Molecule: long non-coding RNA, 1117 nt
Organism: Oncorhynchus tshawytscha (Chinook salmon)
Lineage: Eukaryota; Metazoa; Chordata; Actinopteri; Salmoniformes; Salmonidae
Source: Ensembl
CGUCUACUCCUGCUCCGGUACCUACACGCUACUGUCACGUCUACUCCUGCUCCGGUACCUACACGCUACUGUCACGUCUACUCCUGCUCCGGAGUCGCCGGUCUACUGACCACCGUGUCUUUAUGCACACCUAGACCUCUCCCGGAGGGCAGAGAGUGGGGUAGACCUGGGCAGAGAGUGGGGUAGACCAGGGCAGAGAGUGGGGUAGACCAGGGCAGAGAUGGGAGUUGACCAGGGCAGAGAGUGGGGUUGACCAGGGCAGAGAGUGACCAGGGUGGAGAGUGGGUAGACCAGGGCAGAGAGUGACCAGGGUGGAGAGUGGGUAGACCAGGGCGGAAAGUGGGGUUGACCUCCUCACUAGGUGUCUCAUCUCCUGUUCUCUAGGUGUCUCCUCUCCUCCUCUCCAGGUGUCUCCUCUCCUCCUCUCCAGGUGUCUCCUCUCCUCCUCUCAAGGUGUCUCCUCUCCUCCUCUCCUCCUCUCCAGAUGAAUCCUCUCCUCACUAGGUGUCUCCUCUCCUCCUCUCUAGGUGUCUCCUCUCCUCCUCUCUAGGUGUCUCCUCUCCUCCUCUCUAGGUGUCUCCCCUCUUCCUCUCCUCCUCACUAGGUGUCUCCUCUCCUCCUCACUAGGUGUCUCCUCUCCUCCUCUCCAGGUGUCUCCUCUCCUCCUCACUAGGUGUCUCCUCUCCUGCUCACUAGCUGUCUCCUCUCCUCCACACUAGGUGUCUCCUCUCCUGCUCACUAGGUGUCUCCUCUCCUCCUCACUAGCUGUCUCCUCUCCUCCUCACUAGGUGUCUCCUCUCCUGCUCACUAGGUGUCUCCUCUCCUCCUCACUAGCUGUCUCCUCUCCUCCUCACUAGCUGUCUCCUCUCCUCUUCACUAGGUGUCUCCUCUCCUCCUCACUAGGUGUCUCCUCUCCUCCUCUCUAGGUGUCUCCUCUCCUCCUCACUAGGUGUCUCCUCUCCUCCUCUCCACGUGUCUCCUCUCCUCCUCACUAGGUGUCUCCUCUCCUCCUCACUAGUUGUCUCCUCCUCUCCUCACUAGCUGUCUCCUCUCCUCCUCAAUAGGUGUCUCGUCUCCUCCUCACUAGGUGGCUCCUCUCCUCCUCACUAGGUGUCUC